Molecule: microRNA precursor, 61 nt
Filed under: Pelobates cultripes (western spadefoot toad)
Lineage: Eukaryota; Metazoa; Chordata; Amphibia; Anura; Pelobatidae
Rfam family: mir-30 microRNA precursor family
About the family: This family consists of the mammalian microRNA (miRNA) precursor mir-30a. Animal miRNAs are transcribed as ~70nt precursors and subsequently processed by the Dicer enzyme to give a ~22nt product. In this case the mature sequence comes from both the 3' (miR-30) and 5' (mir-97-6) arms of the precursor.
Source: RNAcentral
UGUAAACAUCCCCGACUGGAAGCUUUUGAGACGAAUUUGAGCUUUCAGUCUGAUGUUUGCU